Non-coding RNA from Pelobates cultripes (western spadefoot toad), 80 nucleotides. Lineage: Eukaryota; Metazoa; Chordata; Amphibia; Anura; Pelobatidae. The record is from the annotation of a GenBank genome assembly.
AGAAAGGGGGUUCCCCACACACAUAUAUAUAUAUAUAUAUAUAUAUAUAUAUAUAUAUGUGUGUGGGGACCCCCCUUUCU